This 378-nucleotide unclassified non-coding RNA is filed under the name Hevea brasiliensis (rubber tree). The record is from RNAcentral. Lineage: Eukaryota; Viridiplantae; Streptophyta; Magnoliopsida; Malpighiales; Euphorbiaceae.
AACGAAACUAAGACGGUUGACACAAUCGACUAACUCUCAAAAUAACAACUACAUAAUAUUAAGUGAAUAUUGAUGUGUUGCAUCCUUCUUCCAGCUUGUGAUGAAAUAACAAAGAGAGUGACUUCGGACUCUGAGCAACCUCACAGAUUCAAGAUGACCAGAAGGAAAACUGAGAUGAGUAUAACGAUCUAACAACUAAACAGAAAGGACGACUAAGAACUAAAAAAAACACGAUGAAGAAAAGAGCAACACAGACAAUAUGAACGGGCAUUUCCUUAACUCUAGCUGGCUUAUCCAAAUGGAAAGGCAGAGAAACACACAAUCCGCAACAAGCAAUAUAUAAGUCACAACAUUUGAUUCACAAGUAACAAAAGCAAA